UUUAAUAAUCAAUCAUAUGUUAAUAAAACAAUAACGAGAUAAUAAUUAAAAUUUUAGAUUCUAAUAUAAACGAUAUUAAAUUUAAUUUGACUAGUUAUGUAAGAUCUUAUAUUCACUUUAGAAUAUGAGUAUUACUUAUCAUCAAUAACUCAUAUAUUUUUUUUAGCCUUUGAAAAACACUCGAUUUAAGUUCAUAAUAGUUUUUAAAUUUCUUUCAAAUAUUGUGUCUACAGGACAACGAUACUUGCGUAAAAGUUUAAUCGUCUGUUUUACCAUCUCCGCAUCAGAGAUAUUCUCUUAACAAUGUGAGUUAUAUUCAAAAAGAGACUUCAAGUCUUGAAGUUUUAGUAAUAACUUAU
This 359-nucleotide small RNA is filed under the name Arabidopsis thaliana (thale cress). RNAcentral describes it as "ATSL222300". The record is from RNAcentral. Lineage: Eukaryota; Viridiplantae; Streptophyta; Magnoliopsida; Brassicales; Brassicaceae.